GUCCCCGUAGCUUAGCUGGAUAAAGCGUAAGGUUCCGGUCCUUAAGAUCGCAGGUUCAAAUCCUGCCGGGGACACCA
This 77-nucleotide transfer RNA is filed under the name Candidatus Komeilibacteria bacterium. RNAcentral's name for it is "tRNA-Arg". It matches the Rfam family "tRNA". Rfam says of the family: Transfer RNA (tRNA) molecules are approximately 80 nucleotides in length. Their secondary structure includes four short double-helical elements and three loops (D, anti-codon, and T loops). The record is from RNAcentral. Lineage: Bacteria; Candidatus Komeiliibacteriota.